Molecule: long non-coding RNA, 469 nt
Organism: Sinocyclocheilus grahami
Lineage: Eukaryota; Metazoa; Chordata; Actinopteri; Cypriniformes; Cyprinidae
Exons: 5
Source: RefSeq, a predicted model, not a curated record
UAGAAAUGUUAACCUACCUGGAGCUAAAAUGUUUUUAUUUUCAUAAGAGAGCAGAAAUCUAUAUUGUGAGGCUGAAGAAUGUUUGGUUCACUAACUAGUCAUUCAAAUACUAAAAUGAGUGUGGACAGAGGCCUUGCUAUUGAACUGGCUGAUUUAAGCCUGAAGAAGCCAGAUGAAUCUGCUUCACUGGGACAGGGUUACAUGGGGAAUGAGUCCAUGUGUCCUCAGUUAACCCUGAAAGAGAAACACAGGUUGAUUAAUCGUGAGGACUCUGACUCCUCUCUGCCCAGCGGUUUGUCAAUGAAAAGUGAGCAGUCAAUGCGUAAUCCUUUCAACUACAGCAGAGAAGCAAUCCCUACAGAACUGAAAAUGUUUUUUAAUUUUUUUAUUCUGUGGAACACCAAAGAAGACAUUCUGAGGAAUGUUUAAACUGCAAGUCUUUUCAACACAACAAAAGCAGACAGAAACC